GGACAGGAAGCAAGCCAGACAUCUUGCAUCCCCCACACUGGAGACUAAGACAGGACCAUGCAGCUCCUGAGGGCUUAGCGACCACAGGGCAGACUGCCCAUGGCUGCCCUGGCUUCUGCCCACAGCUGUGGGGAGUUCAUGUAGCAGCAACACAGGCAGCCAGAAACCUCCUGGGAGGCAUAUCGACCCUGUAGAUCCUGGGGUUAACCCUGAUGGUGGAGAAAGUGAGGCCCUAAGGAGAGUCCCCAGUGGGAGACCAGGGUCUGAGACCUCUGCUUGGGAAGGGAUAGCUGCUCUGUAUUGGAGUAGGUAAGACUUCCAGAGAUCCCAGGACUUGGGCACUGUGCGCAGCUGCUGUUAUCGAUGGAUAUUAAUAGGUAAUGAACUCAGUGACCCGAGUUCACUUGGUAAUUACAGAAAUAUGAAGAAAAUACAUCAAAAAGGACAGAA
This is a long non-coding RNA of Mastomys coucha (southern multimammate mouse), 450 nucleotides long. RefSeq lists it as uncharacterized. NCBI's taxonomy places the organism in Eukaryota, Metazoa, Chordata, Mammalia, Rodentia, Muridae. The record is from RefSeq and is a predicted model, not a curated record. The transcript has 4 exons.